UGAGUGCAACAAAAAGGUGAAAGAAACAUCAAUUACUGUUACAGCACGCCCCUUCCUUCAAACUCUGCGGCCACCUACUCACAGUCAUGCUAUAGUACAAAGUAGCGGUCUUUCAGCCGCACACCUUAUACCUAAUCCUAUUCCUUCACUUGUAAGCUCUCUUAUGGAAUUAAGAUAGUCAAGUAGCCAACUUCACUUAAAAAAAUACAACACCAGCCAUAAUUCUUUUCCUUCUUUUAGGCGCACCAAGGUUCAGAGAGGGAGGGUUGUUUCUUUUAACUCCAGCCUUGAUUUCGAAGAGGUAAGUUGUAGCUUGAACUUCCCCAUUCUUCCAUAGUUCACCUGCAUUCGUUAAGGAAUCAUUUUUAUUUCAGUUAUUCUCCUUCUGAAAUCAAUAGCAGCAGCCACCAAACACCAAACAAUUACAAGGUAAUUGCUAAACUCAGUUAUUCUAGUCAAUGUUACAUGCUCAUACCCAUCAAGGCAUCUUUUAACAAAAAAAUACUGAGUUCAUAAAUGAGUCUAUAUACUUAAGGGGCUUAGCAAUCACAAAGUCAGUAAGAACUCUUAUGAUAUAGAAACAACUACAUGCUUAGUUUAAUCUCUUGCAUAAUCGAAAAUAGGAAUCAAGAUGAUUUAUGGCCUGCACCAAAUUGGAAAAACAACUAGGCGUCGCGAACCAUGUACAGAUAUGCAAUAGAGCCUCCCAGCAACAUAUAUGCAAUAAUAAAAUGGCAGCAAGAAGUGAGUGACGUAUACAAAACAAAUCCCUAUUAUACUGUAGAAAUAAGUUCGAACUUAGCUUUGCCUUGAAUGAUGCUGGCUCGCCGGAGUUCGAGCAGGGGCAGCGAUGGUUCAGAAGCCGGAGCAGCGGCUUCAGCAAGAUAGUAUCUUGCUGAAGAAUGGGGAGAGCGGCGCCAGGGACAAACGGCGACCGCUAGUCGCUGGGUUUACAGACCCAACAACGACGACUGAUCUGCUACAACACGGGGAAGAGAGGAGCAGUCGAAUUUGUUUCCGGUUGAGUAAUUUAGCGUCGGCCUCGCCGGAUUUUCAGAUUCGAGGUGACGGCGCUGCGAUUUCAGAGAAAGAGCCAAGGGCACGACGACUCCCAACGACCCUCGCCGAUUCUGAACCAGCAGCAGCGUAGCUGAACCGAGAGGGGACGACGCCGGGGUUAGACACGGAGACAGCCAACGCUGGAUGGAGCUGGCGGAAGUUGAACGGCCGGGGAAGGAGAAGCCGACUGGAGUUGAAAGGGAAGGCCGAUCUGAUUUUGGGGGAGAAAACCCGUUUGAAACUUCAAGGGAGAAUUGGGGCUUUGCUUUUCCUUCGUGGAAGAGACGAGGAGCGAGGCGGGCUGCUGGAGAUCAGACCAGCGACCUCGAUUCCGGGCAAAGCAGCUGCAACUCCGGGCGGCGGCGUUACCUCAGCAGCGGCGACGUCCGGCGAUAGAGCUUCCACGCGUGUCGGCGGACGGCGGCGGUUGCACCAGAUCUUCACCGAUAUUAGAGGCAUCGACCACGCCGGUUGAGAGAAGCGGCACUGGAGUUUUAGAGCCUCGGAAACAGCGGCCUGCUUCGCCGGAGAAGAUCCGCGACGGCGGCGAUUUGAGAAAUGAAGGAGUUAGGGUUCAAUUCCUGAUUUUGAUUGAGCAUAACUUGAGUAGAGAGAAGACAAGGCCGUUGAAGGCGUAGGCUUCGCCGGAUUAUCAGGAGCCGCCGCCGCGACUGCGACAAUCGACGAACGGCGACAGAUUUGGGCAUGUGCCUGUGAACGGAACCAAGCGAGAGAGGGAGAGGUUUGCUGCGAGUGUGUGUGUAAUUAGAGAGAGGAAGACCGAUUGAUGAGAGAGAGAAAUGGGCUGAUUGGAAUUGGGCCUUUAUUUUCUUAAUUAUGGGCCAUUAUUUUAUUUCUUUCUGUUAGGUCAGUUUAUUUAUUUCAGAUGGGCCGCAUUCUUGGACCAGUAUUAAUAGAAAUGGGCUGAUCUUUUUAAGAGCUGUAUAUUUAAGCUGGGCCAGAGUUAGAAUGGACUGUAUGAUUAGAUGGUUUCCAGGCCCAGUUCCUUAUCUAUUUAUUUGGGCUGUCCUAUGUUGCUCCCUUUAAAUAAUGAGGUUGCCUUAUUAUUUUAUUCUAGUUCGAUUAAAG
Molecule: long non-coding RNA, 2148 nt
Filed under: Salvia miltiorrhiza (redroot sage)
Lineage: Eukaryota; Viridiplantae; Streptophyta; Magnoliopsida; Lamiales; Lamiaceae
Description: long non-coding RNA (SMIL_LNC009094)
Source: RNAcentral